Molecule: ribosomal RNA, 253 nt
Filed under: uncultured bacterium
Lineage: Bacteria
Description: partial 16S ribosomal RNA
Rfam family: Bacterial small subunit ribosomal RNA
Source: RNAcentral
UACGUAGGGUGCGAGCGUUAAUCGGAAUUACUGGGCGUAAAGCGUGCGCAGGCGGUUUUGUAAGCCAGGUGUGAAAUCCCCGGGCUCAGCCUGGGAAUGGCAUUUGGGACUGCAAGGCUGGAGUGCGGCAGAGGAGACUGGAAUUCCUGGUGUAGCAGUGAAAUGCGUAGAUAUCAGGAGGAAUACCGAUGGCGAAGGCAGGUCUCUGGGCUGACACUGACGCUCAUGCACGAAAGCGUGGGGAGCAAACAGG